GCCCGGAUGGCGAAAUUGGUAGACGCAGCGGCCUUAAAAGCCGCAGGCCGAGAGGCCGUACCGGUUCAAUUCCGGUUCCGGGCACCA
This 87-nucleotide transfer RNA is filed under the name Rhizobacter sp. RNAcentral's name for it is "tRNA-Leu". It matches the Rfam family "tRNA". Rfam says of the family: Transfer RNA (tRNA) molecules are approximately 80 nucleotides in length. Their secondary structure includes four short double-helical elements and three loops (D, anti-codon, and T loops). The record is from RNAcentral. RNAcentral also lists the same sequence under 1 other name. Lineage: Bacteria; Pseudomonadati; Pseudomonadota; Betaproteobacteria; Burkholderiales; Sphaerotilaceae.